AACGAACGCUGGCGGCAUGCCUAACACAUGCAAGUCGAACGAGACCUUCGGGUCCUGUCGCGCACGGGUUCGUCACGCGUGGGAACCUGCCCUUAGGUUCGGCAUAACUCUCCGACAGGGGUGAUAAUACCGGAUCGGGUCUUCGACCCAAUGAUUUAUUGCGAUUGGAUGGGCCCGCGUUGGAUUCGCUUGUUGGUAGGGUAAUAGCCUACCAAGGCGACCAUUCACAGCUGGUCUGAGAGAAAGAUCAGCCACACUGGGACUGAGACGCGGCCCAGACUCCUACGGGAGGGAGGAGUGGGGGAUGGUGGAAAAUGGGGGAAGGCCUGAAGCAGCAAGGCCGCGUAAGUGAUGAAGGCCGUAGAGAUGUAAAGCGCAUUUACCCGGGAUGAUAAUGACGGUACCGGGAGAAUAAGCUCCGGCUAACUACGUG
This 433-nucleotide ribosomal RNA is filed under the name uncultured bacterium. RNAcentral describes it as "partial 16S ribosomal RNA". It matches the Rfam family "Bacterial small subunit ribosomal RNA", at positions 29 to 507 of the family's 1533-position model. The record is from RNAcentral.